This 393-nucleotide ribosomal RNA is filed under the name uncultured bacterium. RNAcentral's name for it is "bacterial SSU rRNA". It matches the Rfam family "Bacterial small subunit ribosomal RNA", at positions 521 to 916 of the family's 1533-position model. The record is from RNAcentral. RNAcentral also lists the same sequence under 1 other name.
UAAUACGAAGGUGGCAAGCGUUGUUCGGAUUCACUGGGCGUACAGGGUGUGUAGGCGGUUUGGUAAGCCUUCUGUUAAAGCUUCGGGCCCAACCCGGAAAGCGCAGAGGGUACUGCCAGGCUAGAGGGUGGGAGAGGAGCGCGGAAUUCCCGGUGUAGCGGUGAAAUGCGUAGAGAUCGGGAGGAAGGCCGGUGGCGAAGGCGGCGCUCUGGAACAUACCUGACGCUGAGACACGAAAGCGUGGGGAGCAAACAGGAUUAGAUACCCUGGUAGUCCACGCCCUAAACUAUGGAUACUAAGUGUCGGCGGGUUACCGCCGGUGCCGCAGCUAACGCAUUAAGUAUCCCGCCUGGGAAGUACGGCCGCAAGGUUGAAACUUAAAUGAAUUGACGG